Alligator mississippiensis (American alligator) is the source of this 908-nucleotide long non-coding RNA. RefSeq lists it as uncharacterized. The transcript has 2 exons. Lineage: Eukaryota; Metazoa; Chordata; Crocodylia; Alligatoridae. The record is from RefSeq and is a predicted model, not a curated record.
CCUCGGCCCCUCCAUGGCUGCCCAGCUCCGCUCAGCUCUGGCCCUUUAAGAAAAAAAAAAAAAAGGAGAAAUCCCCAGUACUCACCGCUCCUGUAGCGGCCUUGGGACUUUGAGGGGCUGAUGCAGAGCCUCCCAUGUGGUGUGGGGCAGUGGGGGGCAGCGGGGAUUGCCCCCAUGGGCAGGAAUGUUUAUACUAACCUGCAAAGAUUGAAUCAAAUCACCCUUGGGCUUUUUGACCCAGAAGACUAAAGUGGCUGCCAGAGCAGAGAAUGACAUAGUUGCAGAGCACUGUGGAGAAAAUAGGAGCAGCAGAGUCUGCAGUGAGGUACUUCAGCUGUGAAGAGUGACAUGUGAUGCAAGAUAUGUGGUGAAUGCUCAGUGACUGACAAUGAAUGUGGUCUCUCAUGCUGAGAGAUAGGAAGCAAAGUUGUUUGGUGCUGGUGUAUGGUCAAAGUAAAACAUGAUAGACAACGCUAUAACUACUCAGGGCUACAGUGUGGAACCCAGGAGAACAAGGUCAGCCUGGCUAGCUCUCCCACACUUCACUCAGCCUGAGAUGUGCUUGUGAGCUGCCCUGAGGGCUGGAAGAGACUGAGACUUCUGAUCUAAGUGACUGUAUCUUCUAUAAAUUGCCAUGAAGCUUUGGGUGGCUACGAGGAGAAUUUAAGAGUCUACAUAUGAUUCCAGGGCAUGAGCUAUUGAGCGCAUUAAUGAAAGAGUGUGCUGAACAUUCCCAACCUGCAGGAUCACUUUUUAGGACUAAAACUUCCCUGGUGACUGGAGACCCUCUCCAGAAGUAAGAGACCAAAAUAUGGCAACUGAGACCUAAAAGGAGGAGCCUAUGGUGUUCCUCUGGACACUGACUUCCAGCAACAGCCAUCAGUGAAGAAUAAAGCAAAUUAAAUUAG